UGCCACGAUCCACUGAGAUUCA
This 22-nucleotide small nuclear RNA is filed under the name Arabidopsis thaliana (thale cress). Its description in RNAcentral is "snRNA_13069". The record is from RNAcentral. Lineage: Eukaryota; Viridiplantae; Streptophyta; Magnoliopsida; Brassicales; Brassicaceae.